Molecule: ribosomal RNA, 253 nt
Filed under: uncultured bacterium
Lineage: Bacteria
Description: partial 16S ribosomal RNA
Rfam family: Bacterial small subunit ribosomal RNA
Source: RNAcentral
UACGUAGGGUGCAAGCGUUGUCCGGAAUUAUUGGGCGUAAAGAGCUCGUAGGCGGUCUGUCGCGUCGGCUGUGAAAACCCGGGGCUCAACCCCGGGCCUGCAGUCGAUACGGGCAAGCUAGAGUUCGGUAGGGGAGACUGGAAUUCCUGGUGUAGCGGUGAAAUGCGCAGAUAUCAGGAGGAACACCGGUGGCGAAGGCGGGUCUCUGGGCCGAAACUGACGCUGAGGAGCGAAAGCGUGGGGAGCAAACAGG